GUCAUGUUCAGAGUGAAGCGGCUAUUUCAAGAUCAUAUAGAAUACUUAAGGAGGAGAUCAGGGAUAUUUAGAUUCAGAGUGUGUACCUCUAGCUUCAGCAAUUUUCGCCUCUUCAUCUCAUUAUUCCAUCAAGGUCAGAACCUUACUUUAGAGUUUAGAUCCUUUGUGCUUUUUUUUUUUUUUUUUUCUUAUUCCAUGUUUUAAAUUUGUUAUAAAACCAGCUGGAAGUGGUUUUGAUUCAGGUUUGAUUUCCAGUGGAACAUGAAGCGUAUGAUACAAAGAAUAUACAAUGGCACUGAACUGUAUUGCACCCAGAACUCGCUGCUUACAGAGACUGAGAUAUUGUCCCGUCUCCCCCUGCUUUUGCACUAAGUGUUUACAGCUACUGUGGUUAUGGUAAGAAUUCUGCCUUUUCUGCCUUAUUUUAUCAUAUAUAAGAUUUCAAUUCCUUUCUUUUGCAAAUCUAAGCAUAUUUAACAAGUUUCUAACUGUUACCAGGUACCUAAUAGGUAUCUACUUGAUACUAAAAUGUGCAUCUAAAACAGAAAUGUAAAUGCAUCAAUCCAUCAAAUGAAAAGCUUAGUUCCACGCUUAAGCUAUAGCUUCCAGUCUUCCACUUUUUUUUUUUUUUUUUGGUUUGUUGCACAGGAAGUGUUUUAUUCACCACUGCAAGUUGACCAUGUGCACUUGGUUUUACAUUAGCUUAAAGUGCAAAAGGUUUGCAAACAUUCAGCAAGAUGUUAAUAACUGUUAGAUACUUCUCCAUACUUCAUUUGAGUUUUGAGCUUAAUAUGUAAAGGAGGAUGGAGAGGUUACGAUGUAUUUGAGGAGUUCAUCAAUACAGGUCUAGGGUCUGCCUAACCCAUAAUUCUUCGAGGAAAAAACCCCAUAAUUUACUUGUUUGAAAAGCACUACAGUGUGUUUGUGAUCACCUAGAUAAAAAAUUGGCACAACUGCUGUUGCGUUCGUUGUAUUGUUCUUAUUUGAUAGAUUAUAUCAUGUUUACUAAUGGUGAGUUCCUAUUGCUUGUGUAGUUGGCAGCAAUGAAGGCAUAGCUUAAGAUGCAAAUGGAAAUGUGUUCUGGCAUACACGGGCACUUGGGGGCUUUGAUACGCUCAUUUUUCAAGGGCUUCAUACUUAGCAUCUGCUUCCUUGUGAUCAGUCCAAAAUUUCAAUUUCAAAUGCAAAGAAAGCACCAUCAUAGGCUUUGCACAUGAACUACAAUUUAGAAAGCUUCUGGUUUUAGUUCUCGUAUAUGUGGAAGCAAAGCAGCUAACAAUUACAUAGCAUCUCUAAGUGUAACAGAUGUUGAGCUUGUAGUUACUUUGACUUUCCUCUAUGCCUUGAGCUCCUUACAUUGUAGAAAGCAGAAACUACUCAAAAUAAUUUUAUGUAAAACACUGAGUUAGCAAUCAGUAUUUCAGUGAAGAGACCAUCAUAUGCUCAUCAUUUGACUUGAUUUGAAUUUUAUUUAUUUAUUCAAAAACCAUUUGUGG
RNAcentral lists this long non-coding RNA (1496 nucleotides) under Aquilegia coerulea. RNAcentral's name for it is "long non-coding RNA (ACOE_LNC002169)". Lineage: Eukaryota; Viridiplantae; Streptophyta; Magnoliopsida; Ranunculales; Ranunculaceae. The record is from RNAcentral.